This is a long non-coding RNA of Lycium barbarum (goji berry), 6680 nucleotides long. RefSeq lists it as uncharacterized. The transcript is spliced from 2 exons. Lineage: Eukaryota; Viridiplantae; Streptophyta; Magnoliopsida; Solanales; Solanaceae. The record is from RefSeq and is a predicted model, not a curated record.
UUCAACCGUAGAGGGGUAAAUCAGGCCCUUUUCCCUUAUUUCUUUCCCAGUAACAAAAGGGUAACAACCACCAAACGGGCAGAACCCUACAGCCCUAUGUACCAACGUACACCUCCAGCGGGUUUCAACAGUAACGGUACUUGUUUUUCUUUUGAAUUUGGCAACAAAAUGCUGUCUAGCUUCCUUGGUAUGUUUGGAUCUUCGAAAAUUUAAACGGUCCUUGGCUUCAUACUUGGGUUCUAUAAAUAGAGACCUUCCUCUUCAUUUUAAAGGGGGGAUUUUUUCAGAGUUCUGAGGCCAAAAUUUCUGGCCUUUGCACCUCAAAAGGUUUUUGAUACCUCUUAAGGGAAAGAAUACUUAGAAACCCGGCUAAGCCAUUGAGUUUCGAGGACAUUCUCGCUCGAAUAUAAUUUUUGGAAGUCGUUUCCGCUAGUCGGAAAUCGAUUCGUGUGAAAGAUGAUUCAUUGACGUUCGUUGCUCCCGUUGCUGCUCAAAAAAGGGUAAUCCUCUUUCUUUUUAUUUUAUUUUAUUUAUUUAUUUAUCUAUCUAUUUUCGGCCCUGUUGGUUUGAAUUUUGUAAAUGAAGUAAUUCUAGCUUUGUGUAGAAUAAGUUCUUGGAUUUCUUUUCUGUCGCUAUUGAAUAUCAUGUGGUAGUACGAGUUGUUUGGAUGAAAAUUUUAGUUUAUGUAAGAAACAUGACUGCUUUUCUGUUGCUGGUUUUAAACUGUUAUAACAAAGCCCGAAUGACUCCUAAAAGUGUUCCUACUUUUGAUAUACUGAAGGGGUAAUCAGGUGACAACCAAGUUUUCAAUUUGUUGAGUUUUAGAGAAUAUUUUGUGAAGAACUCUGCUAAGUUAGAUCAGUUUCUUCGAGUCGAAUAGUAUUUCUUUUUCUAGUCCCCUUCCCUGACUUGUCUGAGGAAAUAAAAUGACGAUUAACUUGGUUGUUUAAAGUUUUCAUUCUUUAUUUGAGGUGUUGACUUCUUCUAGAUUUCUGGGCUGAUAGAGUAGUGAGAUUCAACACUUUAGAACCAGAAUGCUCUGCACUCCUGUUUAACUUGAAACUUGGAUUUACCUCCUCCAUAUUACAAAGCCAUAAGCAUGCUUCAUUUAUUUGGUUCUGCCUAGUUCUUGUGUUUGAUCUCAACUGACCCUAGAAAUUUGUAAGUUCAUCAAUAUGAUAAAGUUUGUUUCUAUCAAAAUCAGUAAGGUUCAGCUUUGAGUUAAUCACUAUGUUGUGUUUUUUUUUUUUUUUUUUUUUUUUAGUUUAAUCAAUGUGUUGUUCCCUUUCUAUAUAUCUGGUUCCUUUGAAAGCCAGAUGGUAGCAGCUAAAAUGAUUUAAUUCCCUUCUCAAUACUCUUCUUUAACAAGCUGAUUUGUAAACUCGUUUGAGAUAUUUGCAACCCAAAGUGCUAGCCUUACUUGAGAAGAUAUGGACUGGUUAAGUUAAGACAUAAUCAUCCCUUUUCUUAUUUAUAUUGUGAUCUAAGCAUGCCCUUAGAGAUGUUGAGGUGACUUGAUAUGAAACAUGUUAUUUAGAUGAGUGAGUCUAGUGAGGCACUUAGAACAGGUUGUUUUUGUGGUCUGUCUAGACAUUUUUUGGGUCUGGCUGUCUUCAAACCAAUCCUAGAAUAGGAAAUGUUUUAAUUAAGUCAUUCCUUUAAGUUAUUUGAUGAAGUUAAGGUGGUUCAUACCUUUGUUUUGGAUGUUUAACCUCUUUUCUUGAAAAUGAUAUUUGUUGUGAUAUUAGUUAGUAUUGGGAAAAUUCCCUAUAUGUUAACUAUUGGCAAGAAUGUUUUGUAGCUCCCGCUUGUCCUUAGUGCGCUUAUUGUAGGCUGUGUGCUCACAUGACUUAGCCUGAUGUAUUUAAUAGACUGAUUUUUGCAAAGUAAUAAGCUUGAGAGAUUUCUUUUGACAUGAUUGAUAUUGUGAACCUCUUUGUUGUUGCUGAAAAUUGAGUACCUCUUUUUUAUGGCACAAAAUUGAGAACCCAAACUGAUUUGUGUACUUCUGAGAUGUUGAUCCUUGUUUGCCAUUCUCCUGUAAUGACUUGUGCUUAGCAUGCUAUUUUAAUAAGUUAAUAUGGUGAAUUAUUAUGAAGAAUGGAAUGUUCUUCUCUUGUGCUUAAGCAUUCCUUGGUCUGUCCACUAAAUGAAUCCAUAAGUGAAAACAUGUUCUUCCUAAAAAAAAAAAAUUUGAUUAAGUCCCCCUUAUUUUGGACAUACAACUUAGGGAGUAGCAGUCCAACACUGUUAAGGAUGAAGGAAAAGGAUUUUAAUUUGAACUUUGUAUGAUCAUUUGGCCACUAGUUUUAGUUCUUUAAAUUUGCAUAAGUUGUCCUUGCUUGUCCUUUACUAUUUGAUUAAAUCAAACCAAGUUAAUGAGAGAGUUCUGGGAAUUGCUUAAACUAAUUUGAGUAUGGAGAAUCACUGGAUUUUUAGGGACUCUUGGUUGGUGUGAAACUAUUGAUAAAUUGUGGCCCUGCUGGUAGCAGCCAUAAUCUGAGUGUUCAGUGAGGAUCAUGACCUUCCCUCUUUGUUGUGCCUCACCCAGCAUAAGCCUAUGAGUCUUCAUGAACCUGUGUCUUUAGAACAGCAUGACAUACUUGUUUAAACCAACCAAGUGCAGAGCCUUAGUCCCUUUUUUUUUUUUUUAUAAAUCUGAAAUAUGUUUACUCAGUGUCAGUCUAACUGUAUAGCAUGCUAAAUAGUUAAGGGAUGUGUGUUGAGACUCAGUUGUUGCAUAAGUUCUAUUCAAGAGUUCAGCAAAGAGGUGACACUAUUUUGUUACUAGUUUCCCUGGGAAAAAUAUACAAACAAAUGACAGUUUUUUUUUUAGAUUUAGAUUAAAAUUAGUUGUAUUUGAUUUUAAGAGUUCAUCCUUGCUUGUUUUAGGUUGUUGUGUGUUGCUUAAAUGACUUGAGUGUCCUUCAAAAACUAUUAGCUUGUCCACACAUGUUGAGAAUAGAAUCUGUACCUUAUAAGGGUUAUUAAGCAUGUUCUGUUUUAAUUCAUGGGCUGCAUUUUGUUCUUACAAAGUUUUGAUUGGUGGUUGAAAUUUCGAGGCAAGCUUUGGGUUCGGUUUAGCCUCCUCCGAUAACCAGCCAUGCCUAAGGUUCUAGAAAACCUUAUGAACUUGCGCGGCGUUGGAAGAUGUGGUGGUGGUAGCCCUCUUUGCUGUCCUAUCUUUUAACUCCUAUGCUUAGUCUAAUGGUCUAGAUCAAUCUUUAAGCUCAAACUACUCCAUAUGAUUCAACUGCUAAGCACUCUUUUAAGUUAGUUUGCUUGUUAAAAGAUAUGAAAGGCUUGGUACUCAUCCUUCACUUCCCCUUUUCUUUGCAUGACUUGGGGAAAUUUCCAAUCCCCAAAUGUUUCCUGAGUUACUGUUGAGUCUUGGAGAAAUCUUCUACACUUCUGAGGCCUUCUAAAGGAAGCUAAGAUUGGAUAACUAGUGCUUACUGGCUCGCUGCACUCAGAGCCAGAUGAAAGGUUCUACUUUUGAGUAAGUUUGCUUGCUGCUACCUGGUUCACAAUUGUGGCAUCUUAUGGCAAGUGAUAGCUGCAUUUUGAGGCAAGCAAGAUGUUGCAUCUUGAGCCAAAAAUGAUGCUGCACUUUAAAAAGCAAUAGAUACUGCAAUUGCUGCCUUGGUUUCUCGUGUUGCUGUCUCUUAGAAGGCUAAAACUGACAUCCUUUAUUGCACUGCUUGCUGUUUUGUUUCUAGACUACUAUGUUUACUUAUUGCGGCCUUCAAAUGCACAUUAUCCCUGCCAUCUUGGGCUGGUAAACUACUGUUUUUAGAGCAGUUGGCUGUUACAUAUAACUACUUUUAACUGCUACCUGUUGCUACUAUCUGGUUGUUGCUACAUAUCAGUCAGUUUUCAACUGUCUUUGUCCAAGAAAAAGGAGCAGAUGCUACGCCUGAGUUUCCUAUUUUAGUUGUCUCUGAUCAGUGGUUACACCUUGAUGCUAAGUUGUUAGCAUACUCUGUUGCUGCAUUUAUAAAACAGAAACUGAAACUACACUUGAGCUAUUGUAUUUUGUUGGUGCUAGUACAGUCCUUUUGAGCUCCUACUAUGGGCUGUUUUCAUUUGGUUGUUGUUUAUGUCUAUUGAUUAUGUGAGCCACAUGUUAUGGUUUAUAUGUUGCUGCACUUAAGAUCUCUCAAUUUCAGUUGUUUUGAGAUGAUCUUAUUUUAAGGCUGUUGUUGUUCUUUCAAAGCAGUAUUUUGGUAUCCACUGCUACCUUUUGCACAAAUGAUGCACUUAAGUUUUGAAUCAAUAGUUGUUGUUGCUACACUUGUGGCAUUUAGGCAGACAGAGGCUACACUUGGUGCUGCUAUACUUUGGUUUUGCAUUUGUAAAGUUGCUUGAUAGAACUGCAGUGCCUUUGAUUCAAAAAAUGAUCAAUGUGGCACUUGAAGUGUUCACUUGAUACCACUUGUUUGGUGCUGCAUUUGUCCCACUUCUAAGGCCAGUUUGUUGUUGCUAUCUGCUGCUAUCUUGCUGCUGAUACAAAGCCAAACUUAAGGACAUUUGACCUGAAUCAACUUGCUAUUAUGCUUUGAAACCUGGACUUCUGCAUUGUGAAACAAAAUAAAUGGCUGCUUCAUUGUGGCCAUUUAGCAUUUUGGCCAAACAAUCUUACUGAUAGUGCAUGUGCAUUUGGAAGAACAUAUACUGCCCUUGAGACUCAUCUUGUUAUUGCAACUUUAAAGACUGUUGUUGUGUGCUCAGUUGCAACACUUAGGUGAAAUAUUUUGCUGUAUGGUUUGGUCCAUUGUGGUUGCCUUUCUAAGAGUAACUUUUAUGGCUUCCUGGCAUUUUGCUUAAAAAUGAACUGUUUACCAUGCUUGGUCGAAAGAAUACUGAUUUGAACUGGAUACAAUACUUAGGGCCGAUGAAAAAGUAUUUAACUUGAGGCCACAUUUUUAAAAGAACAGAUUUCCAUACUUGAUGAAAAUUUACUGAUUUGAAUAGAUACUUAACUUGAGCAUGCCUAGUCCGGAAAGGUUAUCUCUCGGUUUAGGCAAUGAUGAUCUCACAGUGUUUUCAUGAGGUAGGAACCAACACGCGCUUGGCGAGACAACUAGAAUGACCAUUAGUUUGCAGCCACGACAUGAUUCGGGCUAGACCCGACUUAAUGAAUUCAAAUAAGUGGAAUUUCCUUCAAAAUUCGAGUUUGGGAAGAUAGUUCUGAGGAUAUGGUUGACUGAGGAGAUAAAAAUGUGGACAAUGUAUGAAUUAAAUAAAGGUUGUACCUAUACAUCUACAUAUAUAUUUUCCUUACAUACAAAUACAUAGCAUUAGUUUUAGAUGGACAAACUAUUUUUAUACGGAUAUCUUAAAUCCGAACUCAAAGUACACUUCCUUAAAGGGAAUUUGUUUAACUCUUUAAAAUCAAAAUGAUAUGCCAUGACAGUAUUUUUAUACAGGAAACUAAACAAAACAUAAGCAAUUUAUACAUAAUCACACAUUGAAGCUCGAAGGUUAACCGUAUGCUACGAAUUCUUAAUACUGGGGUGCCUAACACCUUCCUCAGGGGAUUACCAGAACCCUUACCUAGAACUUUGGAUUAAGAAGGAUUUUUCAUUGUGUAUCUUCAAAACUUGUUUUUCUAUUUUCUUAAAAAUUAGCUGGCGACUCUUUUAAAACAAAGUUCGAGCGCUAACCCCGCCUGCGAAAAUGCGAACCGUUACACGUGAUAUACUAGCGCCAUCUAAAUUUUAUAUGCAUUCCUUUGUUAUAUAAUAAUUACUUGGACGACUUGAGGUGUUAAGGCUAACUUUCCUUCUUUUUGGCAUGAUCCUUAUGAACGGAACGUAAUCGUAACGCUACUCUAGAAUAACUCUAUUCUUAGUAGCUAGGGAUUUUCCAUGUUGAUUCAUGAUCUAGAAUGUUUCUCAGUAAGUCCUUCAGAUUCAAUAUGAUUUAUAGAGUCCCUUGAUGGAAAUACUAUCUCAUAAUGAUGUUCGGAGGCGUAACGACCUUAUGUCACUCCGACAGAUUCAGAAUGUAUUCUUAUCAUGUUUAUUAUAUAUAUGUAUGGGGUAUGGGGAAGGUGACGGCGUUAUAUACGCACUACCACCUUAUCAACUGGUCACAUGAUGAUGAUGAUGCUCACAGAGGCCGAUAUAAUACGAUGGGAUGCCCAUAAAGGCUUGACAGACGUUAUACACACAUAUAUAUGUACAACUGCAUAGUAUUUAUGUAUAUCAUUGGCUCGCAGAGGCAGUUCAGACAUACAUGUUGCAUUCAUUUCGUCUUAUGUUCUCUUAUCUCUUUCAUGUUACUUUCAUGCCUUACAUACUCAGUACUUUGUCUGUAUUGAUGUCCUUUUCUGGAGGCGCUGCGUUUCAUGCCAGCAGGUACAGAUAGACUGGUUGACGAUCUGCCCUCGUUGGUUGCUGUUCAGCUGAUAGUGAAGCACUUCUCUUGUUCCGGAGUUGCUCUUGUGCUUUUGGUACAUUAUUCUUUUGUGUAUAUAUGGGUAUGAAGGGGCCCUGUCCCGACCUUUUUAUAUCAGAUACUCCAGUAAAGGCUUGUAGACAGUCAUGGUAUGUUAGACUUCAUAUGGCCCUUUGACCUAUAUUUUUGCUAGAUAGUAUUGCACGUUAGCCUUGUCAGCUUGCAUAGUUUUUGUCAGCUUUAGUUGCAUAUCUCUUAUACGAUUAAGCAAAUUUUCA